Molecule: long non-coding RNA, 283 nt
Filed under: Triticum aestivum (bread wheat)
Lineage: Eukaryota; Viridiplantae; Streptophyta; Magnoliopsida; Poales; Poaceae
Description: long non-coding RNA (TAES_LNC020622)
Source: RNAcentral
CUGCUGGGAUGGGGGGCGCCAAAUCCACAGAACGCCACCCUCGCUGGAUGUGGCCACCCCAUGCUGUAAGCCUCCGUAUGCAACAUCAGUAGUCUGAAUAUUCAUCAGGUAGAAAAAAGGCAAAUGCAGAGGAGUUUAGACUUACCUACCAACACCAUGGUCUACAUACCCAAUUGAUUAACUAUCUCAAUCAGCAUACACCCAAAUUAAUUAAUUGGAUUCUAUUCGUUGCGGAAAGGGAAAUGAACAAGAACAAGUCAACUGCUCCAUCUGUGUUCUGCCU